Molecule: ribosomal RNA, 1085 nt
Filed under: Halomonas sp. SpR1
Lineage: Bacteria; Pseudomonadati; Pseudomonadota; Gammaproteobacteria; Oceanospirillales; Halomonadaceae
Description: bacterial SSU rRNA
Rfam family: Bacterial small subunit ribosomal RNA
Source: RNAcentral
UGGUGGUUAAUACCCAUCAGGAAAGACAUCACUCGCAGAAGAAGCACCGGCUAACUCCGUGCCAGCAGCCGCGGUAAUACGGAGGGUGCAAGCGUUAAUCGGAAUUACUGGGCGUAAAGCGCGCGUAGGUGGCUUGAUAAGCCGGUUGUGAAAGCCCCGGGCUCAACCUGGGAACGGCAUCCGGAACUGUCAGGCUAGAGUGCAGGAGAGGAAGGUAGAAUUCCCGGUGUAGCGGUGAAAUGCGUAGAGAUCGGGAGGAAUACCAGUGGCGAAGGCGGCCUUCUGGACUGACACUGACACUGAGGUGCGAAAGCGUGGGUAGCAAACAGGAUUAGAUACCCUGGUAGUCCACGCCGUAAACGAUGUCGACCAGCCGUUGGGUGCCUAGAGCACUUUGUGGCGAAGUUAACGCGAUAAGUCGACCGCCUGGGGAGUACGGCCGCAAGGUUAAAACUCAAAUGAAUUGACGGGGGCCCGCACAAGCGGUGGAGCAUGUGGUUUAAUUCGAUGCAACGCGAAGAACCUUACCUACCCUUGACAUCCUGCGAACCCGGAAGAGAUUCCGGGGUGCCUUCGGGAACGCAGAGACAGGUGCUGCAUGGCUGUCGUCAGCUCGUGUUGUGAAAUGUUGGGUUAAGUCCCGUAACGAGCGCAACCCUUGUCCUUAUUUGCCAGCGAGUAAUGUCGGGAACUCUAAGGAGACUGCCGGUGACAAACCGGAGGAAGGUGGGGACGACGUCAAGUCAUCAUGGCCCUUACGGGUAGGGCUACACACGUGCUACAAUGGCCGGUACAAAGGGCUGCGAGCUCGCGAGAGUCAGCGAAUCCCUUAAAGCCGGUCUCAGUCCGGAUCGGAGUCUGCAACUCGACUCCGUGAAGUCGGAAUCGCUAGUAAUCGUGAAUCAGAAUGUCACGGUGAAUACGUUCCCGGGCCUUGUACACACCGCCCGUCACACCAUGGGAGUGGACUGCACCAGAAGUGGUUAGCCUAACGCAAGAGGGCGAUCACCACGGUGUGGUUCAUGACUGGGGUGAAGUCGUAACAAGGUAGCCGUAGGGGAACCUGCGGCUGGAUCACCUCCUUA